RNAcentral lists this long non-coding RNA (1043 nucleotides) under Anser cygnoides (Swan goose). RNAcentral's name for it is "lncRNA (ENSACDG00005017407.1)". The record is from RNAcentral. Lineage: Eukaryota; Metazoa; Chordata; Aves; Anseriformes; Anatidae.
UGGCACCAUGGAGGGGACCCUCUGGGGGCUGGUGGCACUGCGGGGGGACCCCCUGGGGACCUGAGGGGACCCCCUGGGGACUGGUGACACCGGUUGGGGACCCACUGGGGACCCCCUGGGGACUGGUGACACCAGUAGGGGACCCCCUGGGGACUGGUGACACCGGUUGGGGACCCACUGGGGACACACUCGGGACUGGUGACACCGCGAGGGUACCCCCUGGGGACUGGUGACCCCAGUAGGGGACCCACUGGGGACCCCCUGGGGACACUAUGGGGACUGGUGACACCAGUUGGGGACCCACUGGGGACCCCCUGGGGACUGGUGACACUGUGAGGGGACCCCCUGGGGACUGGUGACCCCAGUAGGGGGCCCCCUGGGGACCGGUGACACCAGUUGGGGACCUACUGGGGACCCCCUGGGGACUGGUGACACCAGUUGGGGGCCCCCUGGGGACUGGUGACACCAGUAGGGGACCCAGUGGGGACCCCCUGGGGACUGGUGACACCAGUAGGGGACCCCCUGGGGACCAGUGACCCCAGUAGGGGACCCCCUGGGGAUUGGUGACACCAGUAGGGGACACCCUGGGGACUGGUGACACCGGUUGGGGACCCACUGGGGACACACUCGGGACUGGUGACACCGUGAGGGGACCCCCUGGGGAACCCCUGGGGACCAGUGACACCAGUUGGGGGCCCCCUGGGGAACCCCUGGGGACCGGUGACACCAGUAGGGGACCCCCUGGGGACUGGUGACACCAGUUGGGGACCCCUUGGGGACUGGUGACACCAGUUGGGGACCCCCUGGGGACCCCCUGGGGACCGGUGACACCAGUUGGGGACCCAGUGGGGACCCCCUGGGGACCAGUGACACCAGUAAGGGACCCCCUGGGGACUGGUGACACCAGUAGGGGACCCCUUGGGGACCGGUGACACCGUGAGGGGACCCACAGGGGACCAGGGACACCUGGGGGGGGGGGGACCCCCAAAAUGUCCCCUCUGUCCCCACGUCCCCCCCCCCCACAUUCACGGCUCAGGUGGUGC